RNAcentral lists this small RNA (351 nucleotides) under Histoplasma capsulatum var. duboisii H88. Its description in RNAcentral is "Histoplasma capsulatum H88 hypothetical RNA". The record is from RNAcentral. Lineage: Eukaryota; Fungi; Ascomycota; Eurotiomycetes; Onygenales; Ajellomycetaceae.
UGUGUCUUGUGUGGCUUCUCAGCAGUCAUCAGCUCAUGGACUUCCGGCGCCCUGAUUUUAAGGUCGUGGCGCGAAAGCAACCAGCAACAAAAUAUGAUAUAAUUUGGCCAACCGUGUAGGAAUGAAUGCCUGACUGCCAAUGACUGGUGCUGUGAUUGUCUCAGAAGCGCUCAUGGGCUCGAAUUAAUCCAACUUCCUUGCUCGAUUUGAAGUAAAGCUACGUGCUCACCUUCAGGUUUCAAGCAAAGCACGGCUAGUAGGAAAAGCAAGCGUCGAACCCGUUCGCCAACUCCUAACCAGGGGUAUCUAUAGCAAAUUAUCGAACGGACAUACAAUCGUGAUGAUAAGGCA